UUUUCAUUGGUUUUUAUCAGCGUCCUGUUCUGAUAAAAGUUAGUGAAAAGAACUUCACUAACGUAAUGGCUCGCAGUGCUAGACACCGAGUUAUUACGUUUUUUA
This is a regulatory RNA element of Tetragenococcus muriaticus 3MR10-3, 105 nucleotides long. It matches the Rfam family "23S methyl RNA motif". The record is from Rfam. NCBI's taxonomy places the organism in Bacteria, Bacillati, Bacillota, Bacilli, Lactobacillales, Enterococcaceae.